CCCUUAGAUGUUCUGGGCCGCACGCGCGCUACACUGAUGCAUUCAACAAGCCUAGCCUUGACCGAGAGGUCCGGGUAAUCUUUGAAACUGCAUCGUGAUGGGGCUAGAUUAUUGCAAUUAUUAAUCUUCAACGAGGAAUACCUAGUAAGUGCGAGUCAUCAGCUUGCGCUGACUACGUCCCUGCCCCUUGUACACACCGCCCGUCGCUGCCCGGAACUGAGCCGUUUCGAGAAAGCCGGGGACUGACGGCUUGUGGGUGCGCAAGUACUUCUUGCCGACGGAAACCAGUUUAAUCGGUAUGGCUUGAACCGGGCAAAAGUCGUAACA
This 327-nucleotide ribosomal RNA is filed under the name uncultured eukaryote. Its description in RNAcentral is "partial 18S ribosomal RNA". It matches the Rfam family "Eukaryotic small subunit ribosomal RNA", at positions 1470 to 1796 of the family's 1831-position model. The record is from RNAcentral.